AACGAACGCUGGCGGCAGGCUUAACACAUGCAAGUCGAGCGCCCCGCAAGGGGCGCGGCAGACGGGUGAGUAACGCGUGGGAACGUACCUUUUGGUUCGGAACAACUCCGGGAAACUGGAGCUAAUACCGGAUAAGCCCUAACGGGGAAAGAUUUAUCGCCGAAAGAUCGGCCCGCGUCUGAUUAGCUAGUUGGUGAGGUAACGGCUCACCAAGGCGACGAUCAGUAGCUGGUCUGAGAGGAUGAUCAGCCACACUGGGACUGAGACACGGCCCAGACUCCUACGGGAGGCAGCAGUGGGGAAUAUUGGACAAUGGGCGCAAGCCUGAUCCAGCCAGGCCGCGUGAGUGAUGAAGGCCUUAGGGUUGUAAAGCUCUUUUGUCCGGGAAGAUAAUGACUGUACCGGAAGAAUAAGCCCCGGCUAACUUCGUG
RNAcentral lists this ribosomal RNA (431 nucleotides) under uncultured bacterium. RNAcentral's name for it is "partial 16S ribosomal RNA". It matches the Rfam family "Bacterial small subunit ribosomal RNA", at positions 29 to 507 of the family's 1533-position model. The record is from RNAcentral.